RNAcentral lists this long non-coding RNA (1201 nucleotides) under Oryctolagus cuniculus (rabbit). RNAcentral's name for it is "lncRNA (ENSOCUG00000034870.1)". Lineage: Eukaryota; Metazoa; Chordata; Mammalia; Lagomorpha; Leporidae. The record is from RNAcentral.
AUGACACAAUGCGGGAGACUUGGGUUAAUCAGUCUGAUCCACUCCUGGCUGGCUGUUGAGGGCGUUUGUGGAGAUCAGCAGAAGGAGGAUCUCUCUUCUCUCUCCCUUUCCCUCUAUCAUUCUUCUUCUCAAAUAAAUGUUUUUAAAAAAAAUGUAAUUAAUGAUUUCCUGAAAGAGCCACAGGAUAUUUGUGGCUUUCUGAUUAUUUGACACUGCUGUUUCCUCAUCAUUAAAACUCUCUUCCCACUUGGGUUUCUGUGACUGUACCUUCUGGAUCUCCCAUCCUACCGCUCAGUCAACUUCUUCUCAAUCUCCUUUUCAUCUCUUCCUCUUAUAUUUUUUUUCUUCAAAUGGUGGUGUUUCCUAAGGUUCUGUUCUUGGUCCUCAUUACCUUCUGCUUUUCAAGCUGACCAUGAGUAAUCUGCUUCCUUGCCCUUGACUUCUGCUACAAACUAUGUGCUCACGACAUCUCUAUUUCCAGCCUAAACACAUUCAACUCAUCUAAAUCAAGUCACCUUAGCUCCAACAUAGCUUUCAGUGCAAAUGUCUUCCUCUUCAAACUGUAUGUACUGCAGUAAAGUCCUACCUCUAUGAAUAGCACUACCCAGCUCACAGAUUGCUUCCCUCUCUUCCACUGCUCCUGAUGCUACUUUGAUCCAAAUCAUUCCCAUAUCUGAGCUCACUAUCAACAAUGUCUCCAGAGUCUCUGCCUAUAUUCCACUUUUCAUAACAUUACUAGAAUCAUCUAAGAUAUAAAUCUAAUUAUAUCAUUUUCCUGAUUAAAGUCCUUCUAUGUUCUCAUAUUGACAAUAGGAUAAAUUCCAAAUGCCUUAUAAUUUCAGAGUAUCUCACACCCAAGUCCUUAGCUACUUUCCCAUUUUAUUUCACUCCAUGUCCAAUCUUCACCACCUCUUAACUUUCACUCUUCAUCCCACCAUGUCUAACAGCCUGCAAUUUCCUGAAAUAAUACAAUCUACUUUAAAAUAUCUCCAGGUCCUUCACAGUUAAGAGACUAUUUUUAUGUAGAAUACCUUAGCACCCUAUCCACCCGGAACAUACAUAUUAACUCUUCAAUACAAUUAUUUUUUCUACAAAGAAAUUUCUAAGAACCCCAACAGAGUUAAUCAUUUCCACAUUUGUACCCUCACAGUAUCUUCACUUCUAUCGUAGCACAUAGAGAAGUUCAUUAUACUAUUUUAAC